AGGAUUAAAAUCCUUCCACAUUUAGAUCCAAAUCCAAAAUAUAUCCCAAAAAAAUUCAAAAGUAAAAAAAAGGUUAAAUUUCCCUGCAAAACUUUUAAGGCAAAUUAGAAAACCUACCAUCAAAUUUCCUUACUCAUCGCCUCCCCUCUCUUCUUUAUCUCAUUUUCUUGUUUAAGUUAAAACUUUUUUAUGUAGAAUGUUUUGCUGAUUAACUUUUUUCUUUUUGUCGCUAGGUUUUUUAUAUUCAAGAUUGUGAAGAUUUAAAGAAUGAAUAGUGUUGAGAGGAGUCAUAAUUCGCUGACCGCAAGAAAUGUCACAAUUGAGAAUUAUGAAGAAAGACGGGAAAAGUGCAAAAGAGAUCUUGCAUUAUGCAAUAAGGUUCUUAUAUCAUCAAGCAACACUGCCAGUCCGGCGCUAUGCUUUCAAUUUCGCGGUAAGAUCCGGCGGUGUUGAAAAAUGUGGCGCUAUUAUUGGUGGCGCAACUCAUUGGAAAGAAUUGUUUUCAUGUCGGAGAACUUGAAUAGUUUGCUUUACUGUUGAAGUGGAGAUGGAGAAGAGGCUGCAAUUGGACGAUUUUGAUUUCUCUGAGUUACAAUUUCCUGCUUUAAGAUAGGAUUAUAUUUCUCACAGGUUAUAGUCUUACGCGUUUUUUGAUUUGCUUUUCAAAUUGUAAUUAAACAUUCAUCUUGUAUGUUGAUUCAAAAAUUGUGUUACGUAGUUAGAUUUGUACUUUUACCUUACAAGUACUAAUGAAAUUAAGAUUCGUUCAUCCUUCCACCACCGUAGCUUCUCUUUCCUGCUUCAAGGAAACAUUUGAGCCCUUCGUUUGUCAAAUAUUUGAAGUUUAUCUUUUAAGCGUACUUUGUGUUAGCCCUUAAUAUGCAUUACUUUCAAUUUGCGUUGGUGACAUUAUUUUUCAAAUAAUAUAUCUAUCUUUAUAAAUGUUGUGUUUGCAAUUGAUAGGUUUCAUUGUGAAGUAUAACAGAUAUGGAAAAAAAUAAAGAAUGAAGCCCUAAAGUUUUAUAAUCUUAGGGUUCUUAUUGUCUUGUUUCCAAGUGAUUAUAAUGUUAUUGUAUCAUUUAUAAUUGCUUUGAUUUAGUAAUUUAGAGAUUUUGUUUGCUUCCAAGUGAUUAUUUUGAUAAUGUAUUAGCUCAACUCUUGUCAAAACUAUAAUGGUCAAGAAAAGAUGGUGAGACAUCUGAUUGUUAAAAAUGUACGACUUCCUUGUCUUUUUUGCGUACGCAAAGGAAAAGCCAAGUAGAAAACAUCAACAAAUCUUGCUGGGAAUAGACAUUGAUAAAAGCAACCUGAGACUCCAGGAGCAGAAUACGAAAGGUGGCUAUUGGAAGCAAAGCAUUUCUCCAUGCCAUUAUUAGCCAACAGUGGCAACAACUAAAACAGUGUGUUGUUGAAAGGUUGUUUCGUAUUGCUUCCUCAUGUGUUCGACAAUCACGUCGAUUAUGUAAAUGCUACUGUCAUUUGUGUAUUAAAUAGCAUAUAAAGGUGAGCACAUUGUUCAAUUUUCUUUUCCUUUUUAUGUUCAUGUAAAUUCUUACGCCUCCUACCUACUCGAAAGUGUUUAACUAGUGCUGUACUUUCUUGCAGAAAGGUAGGUUACAAGAGAAGCUGCAUUUAGGACUAUUUUUUGGUUUGUGUAAGUCACUAAAGUAUGCAAAACAUGUCAUGUUAUGAGAACAUUAACAGUUUUAGUAGUUAUCAUGUUAAUUACAUCUCGUUUCAAUCCCAAACAUGAAAUAAUAGGCUAUGUGAAUCCUUAUUUCUUCAUUUAAGUUCAUAUUAACAAUGUUUUAUUACUCAUAAUUUUUACAUUCUCUGUUGUUGUUCUAUGAGGAGAAGCGAUAGAUAAGUACAUAAUCAAGUAAGUUACAUGCUUUAACAAUUUACAAAGCAGUAAUAAAUUUUCUGUGUUACCUAAGGAGUUUUUUGUGGUUUAGUGAAGUUCAUAUAUUCUACAACCCGCUAGAUUUCUAAGCUAAUAUGAAAUUUCUAUCUGAGGCCAAGAUUAAUAUAGUUAGCCUCCAUUCUGUUGCCAAAUUUUAAAUUCCUCUCUGACUGUGACAUUUUAGUAUCAACAGCCUUUCAGAAGCUACUUUUAAGUUGUUUUCUUUUGCUUGUUGUUAUUGUUUUCUUUUCUUUUUUUGUCUAAUGCAGGCUAUGUUACGUAAUGAUGCCAAUCCACAGCUUUCUUGUGCAAUUGAUACUUGGAGUCUAGGUUGUACUGUUUAAAUGUUUACUGGACAAUCCUCUUGAAGUUGAUUAGACGGGCUAAGCCGCGUUAACAAACUUUGAGCCUAUUAGUUUGUCACAUAGUAGUAUCAUAUCCAAAGAAGCUAUAUUCCUCGGAAUCUCCAAAAAUGCUAAUGCACUAUAUUUGAAGGAUUCGAAAUUCAACCCCGCACUAUUUUUGAAGAGUCCGAAAAUUAUAGCUGAGAAUGAACAAGCAAAAAAAUCAUGGCCAAUAUUUUUUUUUUGAUUCCAAAUUUGAUGUAUAAACAAUCGUGUAUUUCAUUUUUUAGGUGAAAGCAAUUAUCACCUGUACUAGAAACGUCAUUUCCGGAAGGAAAGAUUUUUAUCCGUUGCUAUUUUCAGAGGAAAUAUGCAGAUAGUCCUACAUUUUUUAUGCUUCUUGAGCAUCCUUUCUUAAGUAAUACUAAUUUGCGUGAACAUAGUGCUACUGUUUCAGGUUCCUCAGAAGAUUUUUUGCGGAUGAAAUGAGAACUGUGGGUUUUAACAUAUCGAACAAGAAUGUACUUUUAAGAAAGUGUAUUUUUUAAUGUGUAGCCUUCCCUACUCAACUGACUCUGUGGCACAGGUAAACAUUCCAAUGUCCGUAAAGUUACAGUGGAGUGACAGUCGGAGCAUGUGGUCUUAUUAGUUUAGAGCCAACAGAGGUAAACAGUUGUGGAAUGUUAGUUAAGAUUAUUACUACUGCUCCGUUGCUAGUUUUUUUCCUUUUAUGAUUGUAGAUGAUUUUUGUUUUUUCAUUGAUAUAUAUUAUUUUAUGAGAUCUGUACGUUGUUUGAUUUACAUAAUUUAAAACAAAUGAAUAUAUGAUAUACUAAUAUUAUAUGAAAUGCAUAAUAAUGAGGUUUAUGGGCUAAUUUUGUUUGUUUCUAUGUGAAUGUACCACCAAAUGAUGAUUUUUAGCAUAAGAGUCAUAUUUAGUACAUGUGUUUCACAUAUAUUGAUGAUUUUAGGUUCGGGACAUUGAGGAAGUUCCUGGUCAUUGAAGCAGAAGACUUGGCUCUUUCCUAAGUUGAUUGGUGAGUCCUCAUGAGUUCCGAGGAUAUAAACACUUGUCAAGCCUUAUUGGUUUUGUCUAUGUUUUGAGAUAAUUAUUCCAUUCUGAUAUUGAGACUUCAUUGUAUCCUAUAUGAGCAUAUUGUAAUAGACUAAGGAAUAUGCCCAAACUAUUAUGAUUCAUUCUUUAGAUGGUUAAA
Non-coding RNA from Solanum lycopersicum (tomato), 3461 nucleotides. Lineage: Eukaryota; Viridiplantae; Streptophyta; Magnoliopsida; Solanales; Solanaceae. The record is from RefSeq and is a predicted model, not a curated record.